UGAUCCAUAACUGCGCAGCUGAGAUUAAAACCAGACUCAUUUCCACCAUAGGCUCGAUUCUUCUCUCACAGACAAAAAAGCAGUCUCAGGAAAGAUGUCUGUCUCCAUGACCAAAGGCGAGGGGGUCACUGUGUUCACUAUGACCGUUGACCCCAAAAGUUCCUGUCCUCCUCUGUGUCAAAUCAUCAAGUCCCUCUGCUACAGCCCAGUGUGGUGCACUGUGUCCCAGCAGCUGAGGACAGUUCAGAGAAUGUCUCAGUCAGUACUCGGGGCUCUGCACAUCAUGACUGGUUUUCUCCACAUUGGCCUCGGAGUGAUUCUCCUGAACAGUGGAAGUGGCUCUGGAUGGGUAAUGGAAGAC
Molecule: long non-coding RNA, 361 nt
Organism: Limanda limanda (common dab)
Lineage: Eukaryota; Metazoa; Chordata; Actinopteri; Pleuronectiformes; Pleuronectidae
Exons: 3
Source: RefSeq, a predicted model, not a curated record